This 496-nucleotide ribosomal RNA is filed under the name uncultured bacterium. RNAcentral's name for it is "partial 16S ribosomal RNA". It matches the Rfam family "Bacterial small subunit ribosomal RNA", at positions 28 to 506 of the family's 1533-position model. The record is from RNAcentral.
GAUGAACGCUGGCGGCGUGCCUAAUACAUGCAAGUCGAGCGAACGGACGAGAAGCUUGCUUCUCUGAUGUUAGCGGCGGACGGGUGAGUAACACGUGGAUAACCUACCUAUAAGACUGGGAUAACUUCGGGAAACCGGAGCUAAUACCGGAUGAUAUUUUGAACCGCAUGGUUCAAAAGUGAAAGACGGUCUUGCUGUCACUUAUAGAUGGAUCCGCGCUGCAUUAGCUAGUUGGUAAGGUAACGGCUUACCAAGGCAACGAUGCGUAGCCGACCUGAGAGGGUGAUCGGCCACACUGGAACUGAGACACGGUCCAGACUCCUACGGGAGGCAGCAGUAGGGAAUCUUCCGCAAUGGGCGAAAGCCUGACGGAGCAACGCCGCGUGAGUGAUGAAGGUCUUCGGAUCGUAAAACUCUGUUAUUAGGGAAGAACAUAUGUGUAAGUAACUGUGCACAUCUUGACGGUACCUAAUCAGAAAGCCACGGCUAACUACGU